AUUGAACGCUGGCGGCAGGCUUAACACAUGCAAGUCGAGCGGGGGAGGUUGCUUCGGUAACUGACCUAGCGGCGGACGGGUGAGUAAUGCUUAGGAAUCUGCCGUUUAGUGGGGGACAACAUUCCGAAAGGAAUGCUAAUACCGCAUACGUCCUACGGGAGAAAGCAGGGGAUCUUCGGACCUUGCGCUAAAUGAUGAGCCUAAGUCGGAUUAGCUAGUUGGUGGGGUAAAGGCCUACCAAGGCGACGAUCUGUAGCGGGUCUGAGAGGAUGACCGGCCACACUGGGACUUAGACACGGCCCAGACUCCUACGGGAGGCAGCAGGGGGGAAUAUUGGACAAUGGGCGGAAGCCUGAUCCAGCCAUGCCGCGUGUGUGAAGAAGGCCUUAUGGUUGUAAAGCACUUUAAGCGAGGAGGAGGCUACUAGUAUUAAUACUACUGGAUAGUGGACGUUACUCGCAGAAUAAGCACCGGCUAACUCUGUGCCAGCCGCCGCGGUAA
This 501-nucleotide ribosomal RNA is filed under the name uncultured bacterium. RNAcentral describes it as "partial 16S ribosomal RNA". It matches the Rfam family "Bacterial small subunit ribosomal RNA", at positions 30 to 523 of the family's 1533-position model. The record is from RNAcentral.